GUGGGGAAUCUUGCGCAAUGGGCGAAAGCCUGACGCAGCCAUGCCGCGUGAAUGAUGAAGGUCUUAGGAUUGUAAAAUUCUUUCACCGGGGACGAUAAUGACGGUACCCGGAGAAGAAGCCCCGGCUAACUUCGUGCCAGCAGCCGCGGUAAUACGAAGGGGGCUAGCGUUGCUCGGAAUUACUGGGCGUAAAGGGCGCGUAGGCGGACAUUUAAGUCAGAGGUGAAAGCCCAGGGCUCAACCUUGGAAUUGCCUUUGAUACUGGAUGUCUUGAGUUCGGGAGAGGUGAGUGGAAUGCCGAGUGUAGAGGUGAAAUUCGUAGAUAUUCGGCGGAACACCAGUGGCGAAGGCGACUCACUGGCCCAAUACUGACGCUGAGGCGCGAAAGCGUGGGGAGCAAACAGGAUUAGAUACCCUGGUAGUCC
RNAcentral lists this ribosomal RNA (425 nucleotides) under uncultured bacterium. Its description in RNAcentral is "partial 16S ribosomal RNA". It matches the Rfam family "Bacterial small subunit ribosomal RNA", at positions 354 to 796 of the family's 1533-position model. The record is from RNAcentral.